GACAUCGACUUUUUCCAGCUGUGAACAGAGCACGCGCAAAUGGUUCGAUUCGAGUCGCAGUUGUAUCAGUUUUAUCAAAGUUUUGUCAGAUUUAUCCAACAACUGGCUUAAAUUGUAUCUCAACUGAGAUGUCAUGGUUCAAUGUGAACAAAUAUAGAACAUCCCAAAGGAAAGAGUGUGUGCAGCCUGUUUCUUUCGGUAUUCCGGUGGCUAAAUUGCGCCCCAGUGGGCCAGUGGACUUGCCCCAAAGAAGAAAAUGGAUUCACCGAGCCAACCUAGGACGUCUCGUUGGAAGAGCGCGUUUUCGAAAGCAACUCAACUGAAUCUACAGGCGGAAACCAAAAGGAUGACCAGUUGCCAGACAGUUUGUACGACAAAUCAGCUGAACCGCAAAUUAUUUUCGUGUUAUUUUUGUUAUCCAGGAGCCUAAUUGAGAUGCGAAUGGUUUGAGCUGUGGUUGAGUACGGGAGGAGCCUACACGAAAUGGCAGGUCAAUUGUUCUUGGAAGACCUAAUCAGCUCGACAUCGCUUUAAGAUUUAUUAUCAUAUAAGUAUGAACAUAUGACCUUUAUUUUAUAACAAUUUACUGGGCAUACGGAUGUGUCUUUAUUAAUUUUUCAUUUAUAAAAAUUUCACUUUAAUCUGGAAAUCGAUUUCAGUAAUAUUACAACCAACUAUGUAUCUAUUAGAAUAGUGAUCAAAAUGCUUUAAGCCCAGUGAUGUAUAUUAAUGGCCGAUAGGACGGUGCGAUGCGCAUUUUAAGAGUACUGCACACGUUCCGUGCUAUUAAUCAAAUGAAAAUAAAAAAUAGCUAUGCACUGCCCAAAAACUUUAUCACGAGGCCUAAUAAUUUGUAUUAAUAGUAUUUGUAAAUCAAUUGCCAUUGCGAACCAUUUGCGAGCAAUUAUUUAUUUAUGGCCAUAAAUAUCAUCCUCUUUGAAAUUUGCAUUUGUAACCGCUCUCCCUCGACUGGUCUCCUCUGGCCGGGUUUAAUCCAAAACCAUGCAUUCAAAAUUGUUAUUAUUGAAUUUUAAUUAAUUUAACAAAUAAUGGCUACAGCGGCACAAAAAGACAAACAAACGAGCUCGUGUCAAACUUGAGUAAGGAAUUGCAAAAUACUCUACAAUUCCCAGAGAAUCGCACAAAAUCAAACAAAUUCAAAUACUCACUACUGAAAUUCUAUAUUUUGUAACAAAAAUUGGUCUUUAAAUACUUAUUGUACAUGCAUUUAUUGAAAAAAUAGCAGUCUUAAAUGUUUUUUGUUCUAUCUUAUUUAUUCAUUUGUAUUUGUAUAAAUUUGCGGCUUU
Molecule: long non-coding RNA, 1307 nt
Organism: Drosophila miranda
Lineage: Eukaryota; Metazoa; Arthropoda; Insecta; Diptera; Drosophilidae
Exons: 4
Source: RefSeq, a predicted model, not a curated record